Molecule: ribosomal RNA, 497 nt
Filed under: uncultured bacterium
Lineage: Bacteria
Description: partial 16S ribosomal RNA
Rfam family: Bacterial small subunit ribosomal RNA
Source: RNAcentral
GAUGAACGCUGGCGGCGUGCCUAAUACAUGCAAGUCGAGCGGAAGGGCGCUAAGCUUGCUUCUCUGAUGUUAGCCGCGGACGGGAGAGUAACAUGUGGAUCCCCUACCUAUAAGACUGGGAUAACUUCGGGAAACCGUAGCUAAUACCGUAUAAUCUCUUGAAGCGCAUGGUUCGAAAGUGAAAGACGGUGUUGCUGGAACUUCUAGCUGGAUCCGGGCUGGUUUGGCUGGUUGGUAAGGUAACGGCUUACUAGGGCAACGAUGCAUAGCCGACCUGAGAGGGGGAUAGCCGACACUGGAGGUGAGACACGGUCCAGGGUCCUACGGGAGGCAGCAGUAGCGAAUGUUCCGCAGUGGGCGAAAGCCUGACGGAACAACGCCACGUGAGUGAUGAAAGUCUUCGGAUCGGAAAACUGUGUUAUGAGUGAAGAACAUAUGUGGAAGGAACUGAGCACAUCGUGACGGUACCUAAUCAGAAAGCCACGGCUAACUACGUG